This 844-nucleotide ribosomal RNA is filed under the name bacterium MB-11. RNAcentral describes it as "bacterial SSU rRNA". It matches the Rfam family "Bacterial small subunit ribosomal RNA", at positions 51 to 893 of the family's 1533-position model. The record is from RNAcentral.
ACACAUGCAGUCGAGCGGUAACAGAUCCAGCUUGCUGGAUGCUGACGAGCGGCGGACGGGUGAGUAAUGCAUAGGAAUCUGCCCGAUAGUGGGGGAUAACCUGGGGAAACCCAGGCUAAUACCGCAUACGUCCUACGGGAGAAAGGGGGCUCCGGCUCCCGCUAUGGGAUGAGCCUAUGUCGGAUUAGCUAGUUGGUGAGGUAACGGCUCACCAAGGCCACGAUCCGUAGCUGGUCUGAGAGGAUGAUCAGCCACAUCGGGACUGAGACACGGCCCGAACUCCUACGGGAGGCAGCAGUGGGGAAUAUUGGACAAUGGGGGAAACCCUGAUCCAGCCAUGCCGCGUGUGUGAAGAAGGCCCUCGGGUUGUAAAGCACUUUCAGCGAGGAAGAACGCCUAGCGGUUAAUACCCGCUAGGAAAGACAUCACUCGCAGAAGAAGCACCGGCUAACUCCGUGCCAGCAGCCGCGGUAAUACGGAGGGUGCAAGCGUUAAUCGGAAUUACUGGGCGUAAAGCGCGCGUAGGUGGCUUGAUAAGCCGGUUGUGAAAGCCCCGGGCUCAACCUGGGAACGGCAUCCGGAACUGUCAAGCUAGAGUGCAGGAGAGGAAGGUAGAAUUCCCGGUGUAGCGGUGAAAUGCGUAGAGAUCGGGAGGAAUACCAGUGGCGAAGGCGGCCUUCUGGACUGACACUGACACUGAGGUGCGAAAGCGUGGGUAGCAAACAGGAUUAGAUACCCUGGUAGUCCACGCCGUAAACGAUGUCGACCAGCCGUUGGGUGCCUAGCGCACUUUGUGGCGAAGUUAACGCGAUAAGUCGACCGCCUGGGGAGUACGGCCGCAAGG